RNAcentral lists this ribosomal RNA (465 nucleotides) under uncultured bacterium. RNAcentral's name for it is "partial 16S ribosomal RNA". It matches the Rfam family "Bacterial small subunit ribosomal RNA", at positions 339 to 795 of the family's 1533-position model. The record is from RNAcentral.
CUACGGGUUGCAGCAGUGGGGAAUAUUGGACAAUGGGGGAAACCCUGAUCCAGCAAUGCCGCGUGUGUGAAGAAGGCCUGCGGGUUGUAAAGCACUUUCGGUUGGGAGGACUGCUUCUAGCACUAAUAUUGUUGGAAGUUGACGUUACCUUCAGAAGAAGCACCGGCUAACUCCGUGCCAGCAGCCGCGGUAAUACGGAGGGUGCAAGCGCUAAUCGGAAUUACUGGGCGUAAAGCGCGCGUAGGCGGCUAGAUCAGUCGGGUGUGAAAGCCCCGGGCUUAACCUGGGAACUGCAUCCGAUACUGGCUAGCUUGAGUACAGGAGAGGAGAGUGGAGUUCCACAUGUAGCGGUGAAAUGCGUAGAUAUGUGGAGGAACACCAAUGGCGAAGGCAGCUCUCUGGCCUGAUACUGACGCUGAGGUGCGAAAGCGUGGGGAGCAAACAGGAUUAGAUACCCGCGUAGUC